This 734-nucleotide long non-coding RNA is filed under the name Manihot esculenta (cassava). Its description in RNAcentral is "long non-coding RNA (MESC_LNC007929)". The record is from RNAcentral. Lineage: Eukaryota; Viridiplantae; Streptophyta; Magnoliopsida; Malpighiales; Euphorbiaceae.
GGUUCGGACCCGAGGAACCAAGGACCCCAGCAGUGAACCAGCUGCUGCAGAGUUGUCAGAGUCAGCCAGAGGUGAGUGGGACUAUACUUAAUCUUUUAAAUUAAGAAAAUAAAAUGUUUUAGCAUGUUCAUGCAUCAUGAAUACCAUGUUAUGUAUUAGGGUGAUUGCAUUAGAAUCACGAAUAUGUUGCAUCGCAUUAUUAUUUGUUGAUGAUGGGGAUGGACAUUGCACGACUCACUAGCCCCUUUUACGAAGUCCUGUGGUGCCCUUAAUAGGGCCGGGCAAUACGAAGUCCUGUGGUGCCCAUAAUAGGGCCGGGCAAUAGCUCCGAUUUACGAAGUCCUGUGGUGCCCUUAAUAGGGCCGGGCAAUACGAAGUCCUGUGGUGCCCAUAAUAGGGCCGGGCAUGGAGCUUGGGGACUUUUGGGUCAGUCCAUCCAUGAUGUGAAAUGUUUGUGUAAUGAUGCAUUUCAUUAUGGCAUGAUUUAACUAUUCUUUUUAGAGUUCUACUCACUGGGCAUCUAGCUCACCCCCCUCCCCUAACCCACAGGCUUGCAGGUACGGGAUAGAUAGAGAAGGCAAGAAGAGUCAAGUCUUAUGCAUGUAAUAGCUAGAUGUGGACAUGACAAAUUUGUAAAACGAUGUAUUAUUGAUUAGUCUUUUUAUGUAUUAAUGUUAUUGAGGAUAGAGUUGUGCUUGACCAUAGUAUGAUGAUAAUCCCAUUUGUAUCUUCAC